GGAGAGGUUGCCGAGUGGUUGAAGGCACCGCUCUCGAAAAGCGGCAUCCCCUUACCCGGGAUCGUGGGUUCGAAUCCCACCCUCUCCGCCA
RNAcentral lists this transfer RNA (91 nucleotides) under Desulfobacteraceae bacterium. Its description in RNAcentral is "tRNA-Ser". It matches the Rfam family "tRNA". From Rfam's summary of the family: Transfer RNA (tRNA) molecules are approximately 80 nucleotides in length. Lineage: Bacteria; Pseudomonadati; Thermodesulfobacteriota; Desulfobacteria; Desulfobacterales; Desulfobacteraceae. The record is from RNAcentral.